Maniola jurtina (meadow brown) is the source of this 150-nucleotide long non-coding RNA. RefSeq lists it as uncharacterized. The record is from RefSeq and is a predicted model, not a curated record. Lineage: Eukaryota; Metazoa; Arthropoda; Insecta; Lepidoptera; Nymphalidae. The transcript has 4 exons.
GGUUGCAAGAGAAGGAUGCCGAACUUUCGGGUCCUGAUCAUCUUUCGCCAAAGAAGCAUUCUUGCAUCUUUUAUAUUCUCCGAGAUAGACACCAUGAAAUUUGUAUGGCCGCCAUCUUGAAUCCGCCAUUUUGGUUUUAUUUUUCAGCUC